CUUGCCUACGGGAGGCAGCAGUGAGGAAUAUUGGUCAAUGGGCGCGAGCCUGAACCAGCCAAGUCGCGUGAGGGAGGACGGCCCUACGGGUUGUAAACCUCUUUUGCCGGGGAGCAACGGGCGUCACGUGUGGCGCCACUGAGAGUACCCGGAGAAAAAGCAUCGGCUAACUCCGUGCCAGCAGCCGCGGUAAUACGGAGGAUGCGAGCGUUAUCCGGAUUUAUUGGGUUUAAAGGGUGCGUAGGCGGCGCUUCAGGUCAGCGGUGAAAUACCGGGGCUCAACCCCGGGGCUGCCGUUGAAACCG
This 305-nucleotide ribosomal RNA is filed under the name uncultured bacterium. RNAcentral's name for it is "bacterial SSU rRNA". It matches the Rfam family "Bacterial small subunit ribosomal RNA", at positions 334 to 635 of the family's 1533-position model. The record is from RNAcentral.